UCUGAAUCUGCGAACGGCUCCGCAAACCAGUUGUAAACUAUAGCAAGCAAUCCUGCGGGUGGCUUCGGCUGCUCGUGGGUAACAUGGAUAACCCUGGUAAUUCUGAGGCUAAUACAAGAACGUACUCCCUGGCUGACCGGCAACGGAAGGCUGGGGAGCGUGCAACGUAUCGUAGGGAUAAACCGGGAAUGGGUGCACGCUUGGACCGCGCUAAAGACAGAUCUCGGCGAGCCUUCGGGUGAGCCUUGGCCUGAGCGGCUCUUGCUGUGUGCUUCUGACCUAUCAACUAGACGGCAGCGUAAGGGACAUGCUAUGGU
This 317-nucleotide ribosomal RNA is filed under the name Polyschismium chailletii. RNAcentral's name for it is "SSU rRNA". It matches the Rfam family "Eukaryotic small subunit ribosomal RNA", at positions 80 to 350 of the family's 1831-position model. The record is from RNAcentral. Lineage: Eukaryota; Evosea; Eumycetozoa; Physariida; Didymiaceae.